GAUGAACGCUGGCGGCGUGCUUAACACAUGCAAGUCGAACGGUGAAGCGCUUUCCUUUUUGGUGGGUGUGGAUGAGUGGCCAACGGGUUAGUAAGACGUGAGUAACCUGCUCCCUUCUUCUGGAUAACCGAAUGAAAGUGUGGCUAAUACGGGAUAUUCUGGGUCUGUCGCAUGAUGGGUCUGGGAAAGAUUUUGUUUCGGUGGGAGAUGGGCUCGCGGCCUAUCAGCUUGUUGGUGGGGUGAUGGCCUACCAAGGCGGUGCCGAGUAGCCGGACUGAGAGGAUGAGCCAUCACGCAAGUGAUGCAACGUCGCGCCUCCUCCGACAGGAAGCAGUGGGGAGGAAUAUUGCACGAUCGGCAGAAUGCUGAUGCAACGACGCGGGGGGGAAGAUGGAGUCCGUCGGGUUGAGAACCUCUGUCGCCAGAGAAGCAGGCCUGCCUCGUUUGUGGGUGGGUUGACGGUAGCUGAAUAAGAAGCGCCGGCUAACUACGUG
This 494-nucleotide ribosomal RNA is filed under the name uncultured bacterium. RNAcentral describes it as "partial 16S ribosomal RNA". It matches the Rfam family "Bacterial small subunit ribosomal RNA", at positions 28 to 507 of the family's 1533-position model. The record is from RNAcentral.